UUAGGUGACUAUUGCGAUGAGGAACCACCUCUUACCAUUCCGAACAGAGAAGUUAAGCUCAUCAGCGCUGAUGGUACUGCAUUUGUGGGAGAGUAAGUCGUUGCCUAUC
Molecule: ribosomal RNA, 109 nt
Filed under: Bacteroidales bacterium
Lineage: Bacteria; Pseudomonadati; Bacteroidota; Bacteroidia; Bacteroidales
Source: RNAcentral